RNAcentral lists this small RNA (620 nucleotides) under Pan troglodytes (chimpanzee). Its description in RNAcentral is "processed transcript". The record is from RNAcentral. Lineage: Eukaryota; Metazoa; Chordata; Mammalia; Primates; Hominidae.
GAUGCAAAGAAUAUGGCCAAGGAUGUACAUGAUGCCCUUGUGGAAAUAAUAAGCAAAGAGGUUGGAGUUGAAAAACUAGAAGCAAUGAAAACCCUGGCCACUUUAAAAGAAGAAAAACGCUAUCUUCAGGAUAUUUGGUCAUAAAACCAGAAAUUAAAGACAGAGAAUUAAGCUUUUUUGACUGAAAGUACUAAAAGUCAGCUUUACUAGUGCCAAGACUUUAAAUUUUCAAAAGAAAAUUUUCUUUCAACAUUUCUUGAAGGACAUGGAGUGGGGAUUGGAUCAUUUAACAAUAUAACAAAACUUCCUGAUUUGAUAUUACAUAUCUUCUAUCUACGCCCUUCCUGUGCCUGUGACUCUCCCCAAAUUGCCCUGUUGCCUUGAGUUCUUCUGAGCUAAGGCAGCCUUCAGUCCCUAUCAGCGCCUCCUUUACUUCCCAGAGAACUUCACAGAGACUCUGUCCUUCCAUGCAAAGGCUUCCUGAAAUAGGGAGACUGACUGAGUAGCUCAUUCUUGUGACUUACAGUGCCAACAUUUAAAAAACUUGGGAUUUAAAACAUCUCUGUUGAAGGCUUUUGAUCCUUUUGAGAAAUAAAGAUCUGAAAGAAAUGGCAUAAUCU